Molecule: small nucleolar RNA, 107 nt
Organism: Sorghum bicolor (sorghum)
Lineage: Eukaryota; Viridiplantae; Streptophyta; Magnoliopsida; Poales; Poaceae
Rfam family: Plant small nucleolar RNA R71
About the family: R71 is a member of the C/D box family of snoRNAs containing the C (UGAUGA) and D (CUGA) box motifs. Multiple nearly identical copies of this snoRNA have been identified in Arabidopsis, and it is thought to function as a 2'-O-ribose methylation guide for 18S ribosomal RNA.
Source: Rfam
AUUCCAUGACAAGGACAUUCCCGAAUGUACUCCUGGAGACGUUCCCAUGCUUCGGGAAUGGUCUCUUCUGCCUUUUGACGGAAGCUGGAAAUUCUUGCCCAUAGAGC